RNAcentral lists this ribosomal RNA (417 nucleotides) under uncultured bacterium. Its description in RNAcentral is "partial 16S ribosomal RNA". It matches the Rfam family "Bacterial small subunit ribosomal RNA", at positions 360 to 774 of the family's 1533-position model. The record is from RNAcentral.
AAUAUUGGUCAAUGGAGGCAACUCUGAACUAGCCAAGUCGCGUGAAGGAUGACUGCCCUACGGGUUAUAAACUUCUGUUUUAAGGGAAUAAAGUGAGCCACGUGUGGGUUUUUGCAUGUACCUUACGAAUAAGUAUCGGCUAACUCCGUGCCAGCAGCUCCGGUAAUACGGAGGAUCCGAGCGUUAUCCGGAUUUAUUGGGUUUAAAGGGUGCGCAGGCGGAAUAUUAUGUCGUGGAUGAAAGUUUGCAGCUUAACUGUAAAAUUGCCGUUGAUACUGGUAUUCUUGAGUGUAUAUGAAGUAGGCGGAAUUUGUAGUGUCGCGGUGAAAUGCAUAGUUAUUACAAGGAACUCCGAUUGCGAAGGCAGCUUACUAAAAUACAACUGGCGCUUAGGCACGAAGGCGUGGGGAUCAAACA